GCAAGUCGAGCGAGAAGACGUAGCAAUACGUUUGUAAAGCGGCGAACGGGUGAGGAAUACAUGGGUAACCUACCCUCGAGUGGGGAAUAACUAGCCGAAAGGUUAGCUAAUACCGCAUACGACUCCUGGUCUGCGGAUCGGGAGAGAAAGCGAUACCGUGGGUAUCGCGCUCAUGGAUGGGCUCAUGUCCUAUCAGCUUGUUGGUGAGGUAACGGCUCACCAAGGCUUCGACGGGUAGCUGGUCUGAGAGGACGAUCAGCCACACUGGCACUGCGACACGGGCCAGACUCCUACGGGAGGCAGCAGUAAGGAAUAUUGCGCAAUGGGCGACAGCCUGACGCAGCGACGCCGCGUGGGGGACGAAGGUCUUCGGAUUGUAAACCCCUUUCGGGAGGGAAGAUGGAACGGGUAACCGUUCGGACGGUACCUCCAGAAGCAGCCACGGCUAACUUCGUGCCAGCAGCCGCGGUAAUACGAAGGUGGCAAGCGUUGUUCGGAUUUACUGGGCGUACAGGGAGCGUAGGCGGUUGGGUAAGCCCUCCGUGAAAUCUCCGGGCCUAACCCGGAAAGUGCGGAGGGGACUGCUCGGCUAGAGGAUGGGAGAGGAGCGCGGAAUUCCCGGUGUAGCGGUGAAAUGCGUACGGAUCGGGAGGAAGGCCGGUGGCGAAGCGGCGCUCUGGAACAUUUCUGACGCUGAGGCUCGAAAGCGUGGGGAGCAAACAGGAUUAGAUACCCUGGUAGUCCACGCCUUAAACGAUGGAUACUAAGUGUCGGCGGGUUACCGCCGGUGCCGCAGCUAACGCAGUAAGUAUCCCGCCUGGGAAGUACGGCCGCAAGG
RNAcentral lists this ribosomal RNA (838 nucleotides) under uncultured bacterium. RNAcentral describes it as "bacterial SSU rRNA". It matches the Rfam family "Bacterial small subunit ribosomal RNA", at positions 57 to 893 of the family's 1533-position model. The record is from RNAcentral.